Herpailurus yagouaroundi (jaguarundi) is the source of this 456-nucleotide long non-coding RNA. RefSeq lists it as uncharacterized. NCBI's taxonomy places the organism in Eukaryota, Metazoa, Chordata, Mammalia, Carnivora, Felidae. The record is from RefSeq and is a predicted model, not a curated record. The transcript has 2 exons.
ACUGUCAUUUAAGAAAAAAAGGGGUUACCACCAGUCCCCUUCCAUAUGAUCAUCAUUUAUGAUGAAAGGGUUGGGCAUGUGUUUUCCUGCCCAACACUCUUUUUCUCCCAGUUGAUCCCAUUUUCCCUCCUUCGGUUAAUUCCAGGGGUUUAGGUACCAGUCUCAACAACUGAUGGACCCAAAAGCCCAGGACAGCCAAUGAGAGCUCCACAUUCACUUGGCCAUGAGGACUGCUUAGGGCAUGUGAUCAAGCCAAGCCAAUCAGAACCUUUGGACUUGACAGUGAGGCCUUCACAUUCCUGAAGUGAACUUCCAACAGGCUGCUUCAAAUCUCCAAACUGGCCAACAUCGAAAUGUUUGGACAGAUACUCUGCUGUCUCCCUGAUCGUACACCUGGAUGCAAUCAUGUUUCCAAGGCAAGGCCACAUUACAAGUGAACUGCUUUUUCAAAUUUCA